This 1891-nucleotide long non-coding RNA is filed under the name Zostera marina. RNAcentral describes it as "long non-coding RNA (ZMAR_LNC001471)". The record is from RNAcentral. Lineage: Eukaryota; Viridiplantae; Streptophyta; Magnoliopsida; Alismatales; Zosteraceae.
CCGAAAUAUUUCGAUCAUUAGUUCUUAAUCCAUCGGACGAAAUUGCGUUACACACCAUGAACUAAAUAACUUACAACGAUUGGUUCACAUCUCGAGGUUCUACAACGAAAGGAGACAAAGGAAGCUACUUUUGCAGCGACUGAGGCUGCCUUGAAGCGCAAGAAUGACCAACUGAAAGGUCAAUUCGAGAGCGAGAUUGGAGAGACUUUUGCUAGCGCUUCCGUGAUCCAGAACCUUGAAGAAAAAUUGAAAGCACACUACAAAAAACCAGUAUAGUUCUGACGGCACGGCCACCUCCCGGCGGUCAGGCCGCCGACAGGCUACACUAGUCCGUCAGCAUAAUUUUCCCUCGUAAUUAUAAUAAAUGAGCUGGCGGCCAGGUCGCCGGUGCCAUUUUUUAUAAGCUACUAGCUGCCUGGCGGCCAACUCUAAUUUCCCCAAUGGUCGGGAAGAAAUGAGCUAGCCGCCAGCAUCCUAAAACCCUAAACGGUCUGGAGAAAAAUAGUUGACGGUCUGUCCGCUAAGAUAUUUGGAAACCCUAAAUUUUACAACUUGCGUCGUCGUGAUCCUCCGUACAGUCAACUCGAACUUAAGUAUUUUCUGACGGCCAAGCCGUCAGGAUAUUUUAUAUAUAUGCAAAAAAUUCUAGAUUCUUUCCAUUUCUCAAAACUUCUCCCCACUCCUCCUCAUUCAUCCCCAACAAACCUCUGGCGAUUUGAGCAUCUCCAAGCACAUUUUGAAGGUAAUUUUCUACCCUUCUUCUUCAUCUUCCUCUUCUUCUUCUUCUUAUCCACUUAUAUUUCAUCUCAUCUUUUCUUCUUCUACAUUUUCAUUUUUUUCUUUAUCUUUUUAUUUAGUUCUUCAUUUGAUGUAUCACUACAAAAAACCAGCGCAGUUCUGGCGGUAAAUUCCGGCGGCCAGGCCGCCGGUAUAAUAGUUCCUGGCGGCCAAGCCGACGAUAUUCCAUCGCCGAAAGUAAUAUGACCGGAAUUGUGAAAUACCGACGGCCAAACCGCCGGCAAAAUAUUGUGGAUUCCGAUUUUAACAGAAAUGGUCCCGGCGGCUUAGUCGCCGGAAUAUUUUUUUGAAAAUUAUAUCCCGGCGGCCUGGCCGCUAGUAGUUUAAAUUAUUAAAAAAAUUCCUGACGGCUAGGCCGCUGGUCAAUAUUUCCCGGUAGGAAAAAAAAUUCCUCGGGAAAAAAUUUCUGGCAGUCAAGCACUGGUUCAUUUUUGAAAAAAUUUAAAAAAAAUUUUUUUGUGUGAAAUUAAUAAAUUGAAAUUGGAAUUGAAUUUGAAGUUGAAUAUUGAAUGUACGACAAAAAUUAAAUUCGUUAAUUACUAAUUUAAUUUCUUUUUUUCGCUUUUCUUCUUUUUUUAGUUCCGACCACCUUUCGUAACGCCUCUUUUGUGAAGAUAAUCGGUCUUCCUCCGUGCGGUUGUGGAGUAAUGUGCUCCUCUUGUGGCGUAGUUUGUUGAAACGGCGUAGUUUCGUUUGUUGGUACUUGAGAUGCGGCUCUAGAAGUUGACGCUCCAGAAGAAUUUAUGUUGAACCCUCCCACGGGAUGCGCUGCAGGGUUGUUGAAGAUUGGCGGAAAUUCCGGUAAGCGCAAGUUCGGAUUUUGAGCGAGCAUUGCCGUGUUGUACUGUUCCAAAAACGCCAUUUGACGAGUCAUAACGCCAUUUGACGAGUCAUCGCCUCAUUCUGACGAGUCAUCGCCUCAUUCUGACGAGUCAUCGCCUCAUUCUGACGAGUCAUCGCCUCAUUCUGACGAGCCAUCGCCCUCUCGAUAGCCUCAUUGACCUUAUCUUCAACCUCUGCUUCGGUCAUCGCAGCUUUUCCUUUAUCCAUGCAGAAGUUCCCUACAUUCAUCCGAUGCGUUGUCUUCUUGCUC